GAUGGGCUUUUAUUUUUUAAGGGGGGAGGUCUUCAGGCAAUGGCAGCACCCCCUUUUUGCUGUCUACCAAGGAGAGCUGCAAGAGAAAGAAAGAGAGGGGAGCGAAAUUCCUGAAUGGAUAGACAGAUGCUACGUCAUCAGGGCUGCAGCCUCUACUCCACAAGAGGCUAGGAGCUGGGGGGGAGAGAAGCAGACCAGCCGUGGGGGCCUGAGAGACAGACACCUCCUCUUCACAGGAACUGGGGGACCAACACCCAGAUGAAGCAACCAUAUUUGUUUCUGGUACCAUUGUAGGCGGCUCUCCAGCUGGGCUUCCUAUUUGAUUUGGUCUUGGCAUUCCUCUUCCUUCUCUUCAUUCUGCAGCACAACUCAGCACGUUUGAUAUUGGUAUUCAGCACAUUGGACAGCGCCAGGAUGAGAAUCAUCCCUGUAACAAAGAUUUUAAAAGGAAGAAGAGGAAUAAAAAUCAGUUAAUCAAAGCCAGCCUUCACAUCUGUUCUGACAUUAUGUGCAAUACUCCAUAUCCAUGGUAUUCUACUUCUACAAAAAAAAGGGAACAGAACAAUAAGAGGACUUAAAGGACAAGGGGCCAAUAGCAUACAGAGGGAGAAGCCUUAACACAAUUGGCCUCCAUGUACCUGAAGCAGCCUUCCAGGAUUGACUGGAGGACAGAUAACGCCAGCUACUAAUCCCAGGGAGAGAGAAAGUGAAGAGAUCUUCCUGUCACCCUCUCCACUGAUAUCCACCCUCCUCCAGGAAGUUUGUCAGGAUUCAUAGAGCAUCAGCCCUUGAAUUGCCUGGUUCCUGUCCGGGAUAAAAGUAUUUGACCUUCAUGUAUACUUAUUGUGUAUCUAAGUUAUAUUUUAAUAUAUUUAACAUCUACUGGUCAUCCUGCCAUCUAGGGGAGGGGGGGGGUAAGAGGUGAAAAAUUGGAACAAGAGGUUUGGCAAUUGUUAAUCCUGUAAAGUUACCCAUGUAUAUAUCCUGUAAAUAAAAGGCUAUUAAAUUUAAAAAAAAAAAAAGUAUUUGACCUUAACACAUCUCAUCUCUGUGUAUUUUUACUAGCCUGGGAGCCCCAUGGGGGCAGGACCUGAGUCUGUGUUGAAUAAAAGCUCUUAGAUCCUGA
Molecule: long non-coding RNA, 1126 nt
Filed under: Sarcophilus harrisii (Tasmanian devil)
Lineage: Eukaryota; Metazoa; Chordata; Mammalia; Dasyuromorphia; Dasyuridae
Description: lncRNA (ENSSHAG00000028218.1)
Source: RNAcentral